Mirounga angustirostris (Northern elephant seal) is the source of this 9029-nucleotide long non-coding RNA. RefSeq lists it as uncharacterized. The transcript has 5 exons. The record is from RefSeq and is a predicted model, not a curated record. Lineage: Eukaryota; Metazoa; Chordata; Mammalia; Carnivora; Phocidae.
CCUUUGAACCCUUGCCUGGCAUCAAAAUCUGUGCCCUUUAUCUGAGACAACAUGCGGAGUCGACUCAAAUCUACAUUUUUCUUAUAGAUGAUAAGAAAAUCUCAAGGUACAAAAUCCAUGCGGAUGAGGUCAGGUUCAAACACAGUCUCAUACCGUCAAUGAGUCUGCUGCUAAAUCACCUCUUGGGUGACUCCUGAGCACCACGGUCCUUUUUCUUGUCUCGCACUGCUCGCACCCCCAGGUCCAAGUUGGAGAAGCAUCAAACCGUAAGUGCAAGAAGCAUUCAAGGCCAUUCAAUUCUGCCUUUCCCUCUGGAGGGGGGAGAAUGAAUCGGGAACAUCAAGUGCCCAAAGUUGCCCAGGAGAGGCCUGGGCUGCUGAGUGCCAGCUGUGCCCCUUCGAGAGCCCCCUCCCUCAGUGGGAAGCACAAUGCCGCCCCUCCCCCCUCCGUGCCCCUUUCUCAGAAGCAGGCAUCUGAGACACACCAUCAAGGACAGGGUCGUUUCCCUGCAUUUUCCUUUGGACUAGAUGACUGGUCCACUGGACUGCAUUUUCUUCUUUCAGAUCUAGGACGGUUGAAUGAAUGUUUCCAUAUAAGGUGGAAGUAAAAAUUCCUUUUGCUAAAAAUAGCAGGGAGGAAGGAAGGGUGUGGCCUGGGGAAACAGGACAAUGCUUUGAGCUUGAGGCUCCACAUGAUGGAGGCCUCCUCCGCCCAGGCCCCUCUCCUUCUCCACUCUUCUGCCAGAGCCCUGCUGCAUUCUGCACUUCUUCUUCUUCUUCUUCUUUUUUUAAAGAUUUUAUUUAUUUAUUUGAGAGAGAAAGAGAGUGAGGGAGUACAAGUGGGGGGAGGGGCAGAGGGCCAAGCAGACGCCGGCUGAGCAGGGAGCCCAACGACGCAGCCCCAUCCCAGGACCCUGAGAUCAUGACCUGAGCUGAAAUCAGAUGCUUAGCCUACUGAGCCAGCCAGGCGCCCUGCAUUCUGCGCGUCUACGCACCAGCCAGUUCUUCCUCCUUGGGUCCCGGGCUCCCCUGCUCCCAGGACCAGCAACCCCCUCCUGAGCCUUCCACUACGAGGGCUCACUCCGGCCCCCUCUGGCUCUCUCCUUAUUCUUCUUAUAUUGAGUCCUUAUAUCCUGUACUUUCAUGAAGUCUUGAGCAUUCUCCUCUUUAUCUGAGGGCAUGCUACAUCGUGGUGUAAGAAUUUGCUCAGAAACCUGACACAUCGGGUUUAAAAACCCAUUCUUCCCCUGGCUACCUGUGUGAUUCUUGGCCAGCUCAGUCUCUGGUCCUGUUUCAUCAGCCGCAAAUGGGGAGAAUAAUAUGUUUCCGGCAGGUCUCGCGUCAAAAUCAACCAAAUAGUGUCCCUAAAGCGUUUUGCCCAUUGUAAGGGCACAGUAGAUGGUCCCUUUUCUUCUAGGGAUUAGCCUGGGUCUCACGCUCCUGCUACGACCACGCCUAGUGCCCCAGGGGCCCUCCUGGGUGGUGCCAAGUGGGAGAUGACUUUCUGUGCCCCAGAGCUCUGUCCUGGCGCUUGCAGCCCCUGCACGUGGCAAAGGGACCCUCCCACAGGCUGAUUCUACUGCACCAUCUGUGUCGGGAGCCAGACUGGGCAGGCCUCCAAAACCAUCAUAAUUUCCAGGGCGCGAUUAUUCAGCACAGCCCCAAGAGGCCCGCAAAAGCUCCAGAGGGUCCCAAGAAACCAACAAAGAAGAGGUGACAGAGGCCAGACGGUUUGUGGCUCACAAAGACGACGGUAUUCGCCAUCCGGCUGGCUCUUUCUAGAAGUUGGCUGACCCCUGCUCUUGAGCACAUCGGGCGCGUCUUGGCCCAGGAGACAGCAGCUGGUCCCUGGGUGUGGGGUGACCUGGCUGGUCAUGACGGCGCAGGCAGGAACCAGAUGGCCCCUGGGGCUGUCAUGCUCAGGAGGCUGCAGGACAGUGGGGCCAUGUGGCUUCCCAGUUCUCUUUUCAGAUGCCUAUUUUGGAUGGGCCCUUUGAAAGAGGAUCAGAAAGCAUUCCAUCUGAAAAGGAACCAAUAAUCAAGGGCAAAGGGCUUUCAUUUCCUGAGCUGUUUCUAGGGUACAAGGUGGUUUCGAACACGGGCCCUGAGUCAUGGGGGAGCCCAGGACUCCCACCCACCUAGGGAGCCAGGGGCUCGGAUGCAGAGACAGGAGAAGGGGCGCUGUCAGGCCAGAGACCGGCCCUGGAACCAAGACGCUUCUUCUUUGUUCUGGAUUCAGUCACACAGAUGAGCAGAGGCAGCUCAGAGAAACAGUCUGCAUAGAAAACGGAGAGAAAACCUGGCUGAGGAAAGCACGUUGUGCCCGUGAAAUCAUGGCGCCCAGCCCCUGCGCCUCCUAUGGGAAGGCCCGGAAGCCUGGACCUAGGUGGGAGCUGUGUUGGCCCGUCGGGCAGGGAGAGCGGAGGACGUGGCUCAGUUGUUAUGGGUCUGUUUUACUCCCCUCCCCCACCCCCCCACUUUCCUCUCACUGACCCCAAGAUGCUGUUAGGUAAACAGGCUGCUUGGCCCCCACUGAAUCCUCUUGUCUACCAUCAGGAAACUGGUGGCUCUUCCCAGUAUUGUUAUGGCUCUGAGGAGCUCAGGACGGACCUGGUGCCACUCAGACCUGGGGUUGGGCAGGUGGGGAGGCUUAAGUCAUUUUGACUAAGGAAAGGGUUAAGGUAUAGGCAGGGAAAGAUGGGGGCCCCUGGCUGGGCUCUGAGACUAUUCCUGGCAAGCAGAAGCAUUAAGCCAGAGUGAACAAGAGAUAAGGAAACAGACCACCUGGCCUGGGAUGUCAGGGAGUAUUUUUCUUUGGCGGCUACAAUGUAUCAUAGAAAAUGGCCAAAACUCAAAGAAUUAAGUCAUUAAGGAUGUUGGCAAUAGUCCGUGCUCAAACCAAGAUGGCACCAGAAACUCAAGGCCACAAGCUUCCCAGUCAGUUCUCCAGGGAAGAUUGCCACUAGAAGCCCUCAGUGGCAACCCCUUCGGGACCCCUCUCUCUCUAGAGAGCUUCUUCUUUGCUUUCUGUUCUCACCUUCACUUAAUCAACUUUCACUUCCCUUCACCCUGUUGUGUCCGCGAGGUUCAUUCUUCAACUCCGUGAGACAAGAACCCUGUGAUCCUGUAACAGUUUCAUGGCAGCUCUCAGUCUGCCCAAAGAAUGGGCCUGGAAAAAAGCCUUUUGUCUUUUUGUAUUGCUUUUUCUGACUAAAUAUCAUAGUUACUGCAGAACAUUUGGAAAAUAUAGACAUGUAUAAAAAAGAAAUGUACAGAGUGAUUUUAGACUGAAAAGCACCCAAUUCAUUCAGGAAACUGUUACUUAAUUGAGCACCUAGUCCCUGCCAGGUGCUGGUCUUGGUGCUGGAGAUAUUACAGGAACAAGCAGAGUCCCCACCCUCUCGGAGCUUCUACUGUAGUCAAUAGAGCAGGGGAAGGGGCUAGAAGCUGAUGGAACAGGGUACCGUUUUUGAUAGGGGGCCAGGAAACGGGGAAGCAACUCGGUGGGUAUCUGGGGAAGAGUGUUUCAGGCAGAAGGGGCAGAAAUGUGGCGGGAGCCUGCCAGGUGUGGUCAGGGGGGUGAAGGAGGCCAGCAUGGCUGGAGGUGGGUAUGGAAGGAGAGGAGGAAGGGCAGCGGGCCGAGGACAUGUGGGGAUUUGUCGACCAUGGGGAGGGCCUCAGAUUAUUAGCGGGUGAAACAGAAAUCCCACAUAGGCUCUUUUUUUUUUUUAUUCUUAUGUUAAUCCCCAUACAUUACAUCAUUAGUUUUAGAUGUAGUGUUCCAUGAUUCAUUGUUUGUGCAUAACACCCAGUGCUCCAUGCAGAACGUGCCCUCCUCAAUACCCACCACCAGGCUAACCCAUCCUCCCACCCCCCCUCCCCUCUAGAACCCUCAGUUUGUUUUUCAGAGUCCAUCGUCUCUCAUGGUUCGUCUACCCCUCUGAUUUCCCCCCCUUCAUUCUUCCCCUCCUGCUACCUUCUUCUUCUUCUUUUUUUUUUUCUUAACAUAUAUUGCAUUAUUUGUUUCAGAGGUACAGAUCUGAGAUUCAACAGUCUUGCACAAUUCACAGCGCUUACCAGAGCACAUACCCUCCCCAGUGUCUAUCACCCAGUCACCCCAUCCCUCCCACCCCACCCCCCACAUAGGCUCUUGAGCAGCAGAGCAACCUGACCAGCCUUAGGUUUUGAAAUACUCACUCUGGAUGCUGGAUGGAAAGAAGACAGGGGUUGGGGCCCAGGGGCUGGCAUGGGUGGGAGCUGGGAAACAGGUUAGGCUACUGCAGUCGUGCAGGGGAGAACGUUUUCCCUGACCCUCCUGGAGUCCCUGGCUGGGGCUGAAAAUUAAACUCACAAAGGCAGAUGGACAGUAGAAAAGCACACAUGUUUUACUGACUUUUUACAGGGGCAUGAAAGCCUUCACAGGAGAACGAGGACCCAAUGUAGCGACCAGAGCAGGAAGCUCUGAUACCCUUUAGACAAAGAAACAGUACAUUUUUGAAGAAUUGAGAAGAUAAAGGGUUUGGGCCGCAGGUAGUAAGUGGGGGAAGAGGCAACAAGGUUUGUUUAUAUGGCCUUCUUGGCUCCAAGUUCCCUGUCACUGGUGUUAAGGGUGUUUUCCUUCCUUUGGGUGCCUUUCACAUGGGAGAUUUACCUCCUGCUUUCAAGAGACCAAAAAGCGUCAAGGCGUCUUUCUUGCAUCAACUAUUUCUUAGGUGCCUUUAAUUAAAGUAAUAUGCUGAGGUGGCAUAUCUGGGGGCAAUGUAUUCUGUUCCUCUUUGAUAAUAAUAUAGCUCUGGACGUAGAGGGAGCUGCCCUGGUGGAGGCCGGAAGCCCCUCCCCUUGGGCUUCUGCUCCUCCCUCUCAGUGGUCUCUAAGGUUCCCCUCUGGAACCCCAGGGUGCCUCAGAGCACAGUUUGAAAACCACUGGACUGGAGGGUCUCUGAGGGCCCUUCCGGGUCUGCACUUCUGUGCUCUUGUGACCCUGCUUGCCAGGCUGUUUGAGGGCCGGACCUGAUUCUGUGUGAGCCUACCUGGUUUCCAUGAUCCGGGCCUCCAAAAAUGCCAACUUGAAAACUGGGCAGUUUUCAGGGCCCAGAAAGGGGAGAGAUUUUGAAAAUGAACUCAACUCCCACGUACAGACCAUGGCCAGCCCCCUGUAAGGAUGGUAAAGAUGAGUAAAACAAAGUAUCUGCCCCAAGGGACUCGCCGGCUGGGAUGGGAGAAAAGAAGUCACACAAAUGACCAAAGAACACCGGGGUCAGGGUCUAUGACUUGCCCUGACUUUCUUCCCUGUGCCCAGGGGUUGGCCUGAGGGCAUCUGGAGAGCUUUGGGCCACACCGGCUCCCAGGGGGCUCCUCCACAGACCCUAACUCAGUGGGCCCCAGGCUCCUCAGCCACCCAACCCAUGCUUGGGUUAACUCCUGAGUGUCUCAGAACCUCUCUGCUGGGCGGAGCUCUGUGACACCGCUUAGUGCCCUGAAAUAUUAGCCCCAGAACACAACCAACAUGGAGGGGAGUGUUCUUACAGAGCCCACAGAUCUCACAGAGGGAGAGCCUCGCACGAGAAACAAGUAUGAGGUGAGGCUUGCUGAACAGGUGGGACCCUAAACCACUCCAGGACCUGAAGACAAUCAGACAUUUCCAGAGAAAGAGAAACACGAGGGCCGGGGGGAAGAGGGGGGCCCCCCGGGGAGAGGAGGAAUGAAGCGUCUGGGAGCGAAUGGUGCUUUUCUCACAUUUACCAGGAAGAAACAAAAAAAUAUCAACAAAACCAGACCGAGAGCCGCCAACUAAAAAGAUUUCUCUGAGUCAGACUGCUUUCCUGGAAGCUGUGAACUUUAUCCUCCGGCAACCAUUAAUCUAAUAUUAAGGCCCUUAACCUUCUUAAUUGUUCUCUUUCAGCAUCGGCUGGUUUCAUAUUAACCUUCCAGGCUUUCCCAUAAUUCAGUUACCUGCACCUCCAGCCAGACCCGACCCAGGAGCGCCCGCUCUCCCAGUGCCUCCCCCCCUCCCAGAGCUGCAGGGCCCCGUCCCUACUCCCCUGCAGCCUGCCACUCUUUCUGGUUCCUGGGCCGUGAAGCAGCCUGGCAGACACAGUGCGCAGUGUGCAGGCCGGCCUGGGCCGGCUCCUCUGUUACUGCAGACGGAGCCAGCAAGCGGGAGAACACGGCUACCGGCCGUCAGGGCUCAUCAGCCUCGGGGGGCUUGUGGCUUGCUAUUUGAGCUUUGUUUUCCUUCUCUCUCUCUCUUUUUUAAAGAUUUUAUUUAUUUAUUUGACAGAGAGACACAGCGAGAGCGGGAACACAAGCAGGGGGAGUGGGAGAGAGAGAAGCAGGCUCCCCCCUGAGCAGGGAGCCCGAUGCGGAGCUCGAUCCCAGGACCCUGGGAUCAUGACCUGAGCCGAAGGCAGACGCCCAACGACUGAGCCACCCAGGCGCCCCUUGUUUUCCUUCUCUCCUUGCAAUUGUUUCUUGGGGAAAGACAAAGCCUCUCACCCAGAUGCUGAAGGCACACUCGGAAGCUGCCUGUGUGCCCACCUCAGAUGCCCCACUGUGCCCUGCGAGGGGUGAGGGCGGCUGGAGGGCUGCCUCCCGAAGGGCCAACUCAGCGGUGCCCCUCGUGGGACUGGCCACCCGGCCCGAGCAUGAGUUCUGGCCUCUCCUCAGAGCGGUGUGUCCGUGUGGCGGAGGGCCCUUGGGUCCUUGGGUAAUUGCUGAGGGCUGGGGGAGAGGGUCUUUGCGUCUCCCCCCCAGGAGAGGCCACUGGGACACUUUCCCUUAACCUUCACAUUCACUUUUCAAACCCUUAUUUCAUGGGGAACGGAUGCCCUGCCUUGACGUGGGGCUGCAGAGUUCAGUCAAGGGCUCCCACCAGCCUCACCCCACCCACUCCGGCCAGGGCAGGGGCACGCAAGAUCGUCUUCCCCACAAGGCACUGUGGUGGCAAGGCUGGGGCGAAGGGGCGGUGGGAGCAGCUUCUUCAAAGCCCGUCCCUGCCAGAGGCCCUUCUCCCAGUUAGUGUGGACUCUUCUCCAGCCCUCCUGUCUGGGGGCCUCCAGGUCUGAUGUCUGUUGGGGGCUUCGGCCUGGUGAGGACACCCCACCAGCACCUCCUCAGGCCUCAGUGUGUGAGAAAGGCAAGCCCCCCCCACACCCAGCUCUUCUGACUGGGCACGUGCACCCAGACAGCCCACACCCUGUCCCCAGGCCAGGGCUGCCUCUCUGCUUCGUCGUGCUUUCCAGGCACAGCGCCCUUGGCACGAGUGGACAGAGCCCUGGGCUCAGUGUUGGGGGAGCUGAUCCCUCUGCCCCGGGCCCCUCAGGGGACUAGAGGACAGAUCCCACAGAAAGGACAUUGGGGCAACAUGGCCUCCUUCACCGCGUGGCCCAGCGCAGCUCUGUUUGCCGACCACCACACACGGCAAGCGGAGUGUCCCCCAGCUCUGCACUCCCGGACUCCCGGUAGAGGGAAGGCCCCACACCCACACCUCGUUUGUGAGCUUAACCUUGGCCUAAAAGGUAGUCUGGAAGAGAUCCAAGUUCUCCCAGCCACGAGUAGAUGCCAUUAGGUUGGGCAGUCAUGCAUGGCCCUUCACGUGAAAAUACAGAAGAGGGUCUCUGGCCAUGUGAACCUAAGGGGGUCACAGGCCCUGGAUGUGGACAUUUCCCUGGAAACAUAAACAUAAACAUUUAAUAACUACAAAAAUUAAACACUUCCAAAUAACAAAGCACUCUUUUUAUUCUUCUGUAUUUUAUACAAUGGAAGCUUUAGAGUUUUUUUCCUUUUAUUAGAUUGCCAAAAUGAUAUCCAGAGCUGUCCAAUUUGCCUGUCACUCCAGCUUACUGAUCUCAAAAAGUAAGACUGAGUAAUUUUACUUUUCAUUUAAUUGGACAGGCUUGGGUCUGAGCCGGGCAUCUCUUGGAGUCAGGGAGCAGCAUUCACCAAGGGUCUGUGGUCAGCAGAGCCCCACCUAGGAUCUGUGUGAGGCUACAACCAACCAGCCCAGACGUGCUCUCAUGGGGCCUGGAUACUGUUGGGAAGAUAAAGUACAUGAGCCUGAUGGGAAAAAAAAAAAAAAGUCACAAGCUCUGUCUAGUGCAGAGGUGGGCUCGGAGGGACGCGACUGUAAAUGUCAGGUUGAUUUCAUGUGCGGAGUGUAUUCAUCAAGCUGAAUCAAGACCACGUGCUCAUCUGCAGUUCCGUUCUGCCUUCGAUUAACAUUGAUUGACAACGUACUAUGUGGCCGUCUCAGGGCCAGGCCUCCGUAAUCGAGCCUGGGGGGUGAGUCGACCGUGCAUGCUUGUCUCCGGAUGUCGGACUUGCUGAAUCUUCCCCGAACGAUGCCAUCUCUGUCCUGGCACCGCAGCUUUGUCCUGCUCCUUCCCGUCUAUGCCUGAAGAAGAGUCCCCUGAACUGCCUCCCCUCCACCGCCACCCUACCCAGCAUGCCUUUUUCACCUCCUCUGCCACUUGCUUUGAGGUAAGGAGCCCCACCCCACCCAGAACACGGAGUUCUGUCCCAGUCUGGGAGGCGGACGGUGGGUGUGAAGGGAGGAGCGGCAAGGGCAGUCAGAGCCAGAAGGGAGGAGGAAAACGAAAGGGACUAUUUUAUUGUUUCUCAGUGACUCCCACCUGUUGUCAAAGAGCCGAGGUGGUAGGGCUUUGAAAUGAAAUGAGAGGACGUCUUGCUCACCAGAUUUGGAGACCUUUUGUAAUCCCCGCCCUUGACUUGGCCUGUCUGCUUCAAUAUCACCACCAUCCACAACAACACUCAUUGAGUGCUCAUGGGUACCAGGCACUGGCCUAGGCACAGGGGGUGGGAGCUUAUGUCAAGGAAAUGGCCAAAGGCUGCAUUGGGUGGGAGACAUACAAAGCUCCCUUCUGAGAAUUGGAAACAUCAUGUUCUUUCUUUAAAAAAAGAUUUUUAUUUAUUUAUUUAUUUGAGAGAGAGCACAAGCAGGGGGAAUGGCGGAGGGAGAGGGAGAAGCAGGGUCCUAUCUGAGCAGGGAGCUUGUUGUGGGGCUUGAUCCUG